CCUACGGGGGGCUGCAGUGGGGAAUAUUGCACAAUGGGGGAAACCCUGAUGCAGCGACGCCGCGUGAGUGAAGAAGGCAUUCGUUAUGUAAAGCCUUAUUAGCAGGGAAGAAAAUGACGGUACCUGAGUAAGAAGCCCCGGCUAACUACGUGCCAGCAGCCGCGGUAAUACGGAGGGAGCCAGCGUUAUCCGGAUUUACUGGGCGUAAAGGGAGCGUAGUGGGCUGUGCAAGUCUGGAGUGAAAGGCGGGGGCUCAAACCCCGUACUGCUCUGGAAACCGUCCGGCUGGAGUGCAGGAGAGGUAAGUGGAAUUCGUGGUGUAGCGGUGAAAUGCGUAGAUAUUAGGCGGAACACCGGUGGCGAAGGCGGCUUACUGGACUGUAACUGACGUUGAGGCUCGAAAGCGUGGGGAGCAAACAGGAUUAGAUACCCGAGUAGUC
This 440-nucleotide ribosomal RNA is filed under the name uncultured bacterium. RNAcentral's name for it is "partial 16S ribosomal RNA". It matches the Rfam family "Bacterial small subunit ribosomal RNA", at positions 338 to 795 of the family's 1533-position model. The record is from RNAcentral.